GUGCCAGCCGCCGCGGUAAUACGGAGGGUGCAAGCGUUAUUCGGAAUUACUGGGCGUAAAGCGCGUGUAGGCGGUCCUGCAAGUCUGAUGUGAAAGCCCCGGGCUUAACCCGGGAAGUGCAUUGGAAACUGCAGGUCUUGAGUACUGGAGAGGAUGGGGGAAUUCCCGGUGUAGAGGUGAAAUUCGUAGAGAUCGGGAGGAAUAUCAGUGGCGAAGGCGCCCAUCUGGACGGUAACUGACGCUGAGACGCGAAAGCGUGGGGAGCAAACAGGAUUAGAAACCCCCGUAGUCC
RNAcentral lists this ribosomal RNA (292 nucleotides) under uncultured bacterium. RNAcentral describes it as "partial 16S ribosomal RNA". It matches the Rfam family "Bacterial small subunit ribosomal RNA", at positions 505 to 796 of the family's 1533-position model. The record is from RNAcentral.